This 96-nucleotide small nuclear RNA is filed under the name Sus scrofa (pig). Lineage: Eukaryota; Metazoa; Chordata; Mammalia; Artiodactyla; Suidae. The record is from RNAcentral.
GUACUUGCUUCGGCAGCACAUAUGCUAAAACUGGAACAAUUUUUAGAGAAGAUUAGCACGGCCCCUGUGCAAAUUCAUGAAGCGUUCCAUAUUUUU